RNAcentral lists this transfer RNA (68 nucleotides) under Marmota monax (woodchuck). RNAcentral describes it as "tRNA.Ala". Lineage: Eukaryota; Metazoa; Chordata; Mammalia; Rodentia; Sciuridae. The record is from RNAcentral.
GGUUUGUGGCUCAGCGGUAGAGUGCUUGUCUAGCACUUGCGAGGCCCUGGGUUCGAUCCUCAGCACCA